CUAAUUCUCUGUAAGAAUUUUAGAUGCCUUAACAAUCAGAACAUAUUUUUCACUUCUAGAGCUGAAGAUAAAUCAGUUGCACAAGCAGCUCAUGAUUUCAAGUAAAGAAGCAUCUCCUUGGAAAAUUUAAAGAUGAGUAUUAUCAAGGUUGGGUAAGAAAUGCUAAUUUUUUGUUUACUAAAGGGGCAGUCAUGAAAGCAAAGGAGGUCUUGAAGAAGAAAAGGAAGCAGUAGAGAAGAAAAAAAAAAUCAGCAUUUAAUUUCCAUCAGCUUUGUAAUAUCCUCAGGGGAAUGCCAAAAAGUAUUUUUGUUUAUUUGAAUUUCUUGCUUUGCAUCUAACUCUGUGUGUAAGAGGGUUCUGUAAGGAUUCAGUGUCUGUAAAUGCCAUGGGUGCACUUAAAUACAGGAGGAGAUGCUGAAGAGGAGGCUGAGCUCCAAAAUUUAGAGUGCCAAGGACCCAGAAAUCUGAAUAAUAGAGGUGAAACAGGCAAGUUACAGCAUUUGGGGCCAAUUAUUCAUCUUUUCACUUUCUUAAUAGGAAAAAUCAGUUUUCUGAGGCAUCAUCUCCAAGCUGGGAAACAGCAGUUUUUCCUCUUAGUUUUUCCUUCUUGAGUUCUAGCAAAUUGACCAAGCUCCAAACAAGCAAAAAUCAUAACAAAUGCAGAAGGAAAUACAUUUUAAAAAUAAACUCAGAGGCAGAAAACCUCUAUUUGGAGAUUAUUUAUACCUACCUGUGAAAACUUCCAGUCUUUUGUAAUACUGCAAGGUAAAGAGGGAAGAAUCUCCCUUUUCACAAGAGCAAAGAAAAUACCUGAACAAGCAAAGAAAAUACCUGGACUGGCUGUGGCAGAGCAGAUCUGGGUAUCUCCUCCUGCAGCCCCAGGAGCACAGGCUGGAAAAAUCACCCUAAAUCCUGUUUAAAAGGUGGAAUCUCCAUCCUACACCCAUCUAAUCCAGGGUGCUGCUGCUUGGAAUUAAACUAUCAAGUCAGGUUUUAAUAAAGCAUCAAGUACCAAAGUGCUUCAAUGCCCUUGCUGCUCCUUCCAGCCCACUCAAAGAUGCAAAGCAGAGGCAUUAACUGGUACAGAAGCCAUUAAUUUGAUUUUAGCACUAAGCAAAGCAGUAAGUAAAGCCCAGUAACUUGGAAACUGCAACAAGUUGAUGGUUUGGGAAAAUUUUUGGGCUGUUUGCAUGAGACAUACAUAUUUAUAUUAAAAUAUAGGUCAGGGACAGCUGAGAAAAUGAAUCAAACUCCUUGUUUAUCACAAGCAUAAUUAGUGCAUUAGGAAUGUAUGAAAAAUAUAUUCAUUCAAUGAAUACAUUCAGUUUGUAGCAUUUUUUUUUCCAUAAAAAUGUGAUUUGGGCACGUUUUGGACUAUCCCUUCCUCUCCAGUUACCUUCAAGCUAUUACCUGUAAUUACUAACCAAAAUCAAACCAGAAUAACAGCUCUGAAGGCAGAAAAUCAUGUGGCUUUAAGACAGCAGGGAGAUUUUCUAGAAUUCCAACAUUCAGUAAGACAUAACAAACUACAGGGCAAUUGCUUUGAUAUUAUUUUUAUUUUUUAAACUUUCUGGAGCUGGAAUUUCCAGUGUCAAGCAGUGCUGUCCUUCCCCACAGCCAGAGGGGAAAGUGGCUGGGCUUGGGGGUCUCUGGGCACUACCCCCAGAAAAACUGCCCCUAAAAAAAGCACAUUUCCUAUUCAGCUCCCUUCAAGGAACUCUCUACAACCUUGGCCCUUCCACAUCCAGCAAACCCUCUCUUCACAUAUUCCUUCUUCAUCACUUUUGGGUUGUUUUUCUGCCUUUCCUUCCUUCAUUUUGUCUUAUCCUCUUUGUGUUCUUGUGUCUUUGUAGCUCCCCCAGCCAGUUUUAUCUAAAUCCUCUGGAUGAAAGAGCUUCUUUUCCCCUCCUUAUUCCAGCCAGACUUGUCUUGUGAACAUUAUCUUUGUUUUUCCAGGGUGAGCAGACUCCAGCCUUUUCCAUGGCAGCACCAUGCCUGGCUCAGAGGGCACAUUGGGAUUCCUGCAGGCCAGGAGAGCCCCAGGUCCCUAAAGCACAUGGUGGGUGCAGCUCCUUUGCUGUUCCAGGCCACCAUAUAAAGCCAAAUUCCAGAUUUAUUACUUGAAUAACUCCCAGUUAUUCAACCCCAGACUACAGCAGCAGUACUAAAUUUUGCUGGGGUAUAAUUCUCUUGCCAGACCAUUUUAAAUUUUUGCAGCCAUUCAGGCCAAUCCCAAACCUAAAGGUGUUUACAGAGGAACAUUUUAUAAAAACCUAUCCAGGGAAUCUCUUUUUUCUUUCUCUUUAUUUUCUCCCCCUUUUUUGUGUCAGGUUUCUGUGAUGAGACUCUGCAACCUCCAACGAACACUGUAAAUCUCCAGGAGCACCACCAUAAAUAACAGGAAAAACAGUUAAAUGGAUUGAUUGGAAUAGAUGAAUUACACUGUCAGGAUGUUCCCAGUCUGGAUUUCUCUUCUCCUACAGCUUUGACUUCUCUCCACUAUUGAAAUUCACUGAGAUUUUCUCCAUUCUGUGAGGUGGCACCAGAGCACCACCUCAGCACUCACUGUUUUCAUCCCCCCCCUUUACUGAAGUUUCCCAGGGCUGUAACAAAGCCUGGUUUUUCCAACUGGAGCUCUGCUGGAAUUUCAAUUUAACCUUACUCACUUCUCAUUUCACCACUUCAGCCAGUGAUAACAAUUCCCCAAAAACUACAAUUGCAAAGCCAGUACUUCUUCCAGCAGCAAAUUCUAAUCACAGAUGCUUUAAAUUACUUUGUGUGAGGGCUCAAUUAGUGUGAGGCCCAUCCAAGUCAGCCCUUUCCCCAUCUGACUGCAGUAGGAUGGGUACAGCUACAAACACUUCACAUCAAAACAUCAGACCCAACUUUUCUAAAAAGUCCAUGACAGAGCCAGAGUGGAAAUCAAAGUCAUAACAAUCUCUGCCCUGAGGGACAAUAGUCACUAGACUGUCAGAAUGCUUUAAAUACAGAUGCAAAAUUUAUUUGGCAGUUUUAUUCUUAUUUUUAUUUAUUUAUCAUGGUGAACAGAGCUCAACACAUCAGAUACCAAAGAACUUGGUUGCCUUUCUCACAGAACGUGCCUAUCCCAAGUGCUGUGGGCAUAAAAACAAUAAAACCCUCAUGGUAGAAAGGAUGUGUUGAGGUGGCAGAGUGGGCCCUUGCAGGGAUUGGUUAAGAAAGGCAUCUCAGGAAUAUAAAAAAUGUGAAAGAAGUGAUGAAGGAAAGGUAAAGGCAAAGACAAUUCACCACAUGUCACCAGAACCAACAGGAGCCUCUGCCUUUAGGAGCAGAUGUCCCCAGCCAGAGAGAGAGAACACACACCACAACGUAACCUCUGGUUUCCCUUCAGGAGCAUGGAGCAGACAUGAGGAAGCAGGAUGGAAAACCCACCCACCUCCUCCUCAGCACCUGGGUACGUGCAUGGAAAAGUGGAACAUCCACCACAAGAAGCUCAUGCAGGGUCAACACUGCUCCAGCCUCGUGUGGACAGAACUCCAGACAGUACAGGAAUGGGAAAUACCCAACAUGGAACAGUCCCAGGAUCAGGUGGAGAAGCCCCACAAAGUCAUUCUGUGGAUGGAGAGGGGAAAUGAGGACAAGAAGGCUCAGAGAAACAAACUGCAAACCCAAAAUACGAAGAACAAACCUAGAGGCAAGGGCAAAACAAAAGAUAAGAACAGAACAAGUGAGCACAGCUGCUGCAAAAAUUACUUGCACAGAGGAUGAAAAGAAAAGGGGAUACAGGAGGGAACAAGACUGGAGAGAAAAGGAAGGAAAGGAGAAUAAAUCACACCAGCUUUUGUCAAGUUGAAGUUUUGUAUUUCACUCCUGUAUUUCCCUGGAAAAGUUUGCAGCUCCACUGCAAAUGAUCAGUCAGGAAGAGGGAGGAGGGCAAAAUCCCAGCCUGAAAGUGGAGCUAUAAAUGAAAGUUACAGAGAGCUUGUGGAAAAUAAAUUGAAAUGAUGAAGAGUUCUGGAGGAGAGGAAGGAAAGAGAUGAUGGAGACUCUUCCCUCAGGUGCACAGUGGAAGGAUGGAAAUCACCCUGGAUGGUGGGAAAUUCUGGCUUGAUGCAAGAAAACAAUUUAUUCUAACAUGAAGUGGGGGAAAAAAAAUUGGAACUGGAGCACAGAGAAGCUUCAAAACUCAACAACACCUGGAGCUGGAUCCAACCUGAGCCAAAGGCUGGACCCAGAGACUUCUGAGGGUCCUUUCCAGCCCACAGGAAUCUGUGGUUCUACCCCAGAACCCCCUGUCAGAGUGGGGAAAUCUCCAGAGUUUGGUGUAAUUUCCAACAAGAAAUUAAUCUUUCAGCUAGAGGGAUUAAAUUUGUUUUUCCCUUGGUUUCACACAAGAGAUCUGACCUUUCACAGGAGAUGUGAUUAUCAGAUGAAAACAAUGGAGCUGGGAGGGUGAAGGUCACAUCUUUGUCUCUUGAAAUAAAUUCUUCAUGUACAAUCUGAGCUGCUCAGUCACAAAUGUGCAGGCAGUCCUACUGCAGGGUGCUAACACCUUUAUCUUCAGCAUUGAAGGCAGUGAAUAAAUGAUGAGUCCAUUGGUGGAGACAUUCACCAAUUAACCAGCAGCAGCUGUUUGUCUUCUUUUCUUAGGGUACAAUUGAUUAAAAUUGCAUGCUUCAUUGAAACAGAAUUCUCUUGUACUUCACCAAAGGGGGAGAGCAAACUUCUCUUCUGAUUUAUAGAACAUAUUUCCAGCUGAAUACAAAUUAGAAACCUAUUCUGCUUUGUUGUUUAUAAUGUGCAGGCAUGAUAUGAAAAACCAGAGGUAAAAUAUUUUGAGUGUUAAUCAGACAUAAACUGUAACAAAGGCCAGUUGGUGCAAGAAUUUAUUUCAGGAUUAAACCAUCCUUCUUGUCCUACUUAUUCCACAUGUGGAUUUACAGAGACCCACACACCAUGUAUGUGGAUAUAUGAGAUAGCUACAGCUAAAGUAGGAAAGGGAUUUUUGAUUUGUGCUGGUGUGAGAUAUAAAAGCUCAAAUGCAGUUAAAAAGUGUCCAAAGAGGGGGAAAAGCUGGUGCUGACACCUCAGCCCUCCAGCAGAGCAGAGAUGCAGUGCCUGAGGGCUGAAGGAAUGAAGCACAGCAGAAACAAGGUGUUAACCCUUUGGAACAGGGUUCAUCUCUGAUUGGAACUUGAUUAAUCUCUGCAAUAAUUUACCUUCUGCUGCACUGGGUUCUCCACACUUGUUCCACUCCAGCCAUGAGCAGGGAUUUGUAAAGAAAAUCCUAUUUUAGGUUAUGGCAGAGAUGAGAUCCUGGGAUGGUCUGAGCACAGUGCCCAAUACUUCUCAACUAAAAAAAUCAGUUUAACCAAGCUCUGAUUACUUGGGAAGCUGAAAGUUUGUAACAAAUGCAAGAAGAAAUAAAUCUCAGCUUUGCAAGCUCUGCUUCAAAACAAA
Molecule: long non-coding RNA, 5439 nt
Organism: Parus major (Great Tit)
Lineage: Eukaryota; Metazoa; Chordata; Aves; Passeriformes; Paridae
Exons: 2
Source: RefSeq, a predicted model, not a curated record